GCUGUAGUGGCGUAAUGGUAGCGUUCAAGACUGUGGAUCUUGAGGCGCGGGUUCGAUUCCCGCCUACGGCC
Molecule: transfer RNA, 71 nt
Filed under: Candidatus Woesearchaeota archaeon
Lineage: Archaea; Nanobdellati; Candidatus Woesearchaeota
Description: tRNA-His
Rfam family: tRNA
About the family: Transfer RNA (tRNA) molecules are approximately 80 nucleotides in length. Their secondary structure includes four short double-helical elements and three loops (D, anti-codon, and T loops).
Source: RNAcentral